GCUAUAUCACGUUGAAACACCAGUUCCCCGGAUGUUCACUGAAGUUAAGCAACCCCAAACCUGAUCAGUACUUAGAUGGGUGACUCCUUGGGAAACCAUGUGCUGUAAG
Non-coding RNA from Acanthosepion pharaonis, 109 nucleotides. Lineage: Eukaryota; Metazoa; Mollusca; Cephalopoda; Sepiida; Sepiidae. The record is from the annotation of a GenBank genome assembly.